GGGAGCUUGCUCCCUGAUUCAGCGGCGGACGGGUGAGUAAUGCCUAGGAAUCUGCCUGGUAGUGGGGGACAACGUCUCGAAAGGGACGCUAAUACCGCAUACGUCCUACGGGAGAAAGCAGGGGACCUUCGGGCCUUGCGCUAUCAGAUGAGCCUAGGUCGGAUUAGCUAGUUGGUGAGGUAAUGGCUCACCAAGGCGACGAUCCGUAACUGGUCUGAGAGGAUGAUCAGUCACACUGGAACUGAGACACGGUCCAGACUCCUACGGGAGGCAGCAGUGGGGAAUAUUGGACAAUGGGCGAAAGCCUGAUCCAGCCAUGCCGCGUGUGUGAAGAAGGUCUUCGGAUUGUAAAGCACUUUAAGUUGGGAGGAAGGGCAGCUAAUUAAUACUUCGCUGUUUUGACGUUACCGACAGAAUAAGCACCGGCUAACUCUGUGCCAGCAGCCGCGGUAAUACAGAGGGUGCAAGCGUUAAUCGGAAUUACUGGGCGUAAAGCGCGCGUAGGUGGUUUGUUAAGUUGAAUGUGAAAUCCCCGGGCUCAACCUGGGAACUGCAUCCAAAACUGGCAAGCUAGAGUAGGGCAGAGGGUGGUGGAAUUUCCUGUGUAGC
Molecule: ribosomal RNA, 609 nt
Filed under: Pseudomonas sp.
Lineage: Bacteria; Pseudomonadati; Pseudomonadota; Gammaproteobacteria; Pseudomonadales; Pseudomonadaceae
Description: bacterial SSU rRNA
Rfam family: Bacterial small subunit ribosomal RNA
Source: RNAcentral